AGAGUUUGAUCCUGGCUCAGAAUCAACGCUGGCGGCGUGCCUAACACAUGCAAGUCGAACGCGAAAGGGGAGCAAUCCCUGAGUAGAGUGGCAAACGGGUGAGUAACACGUGGGUGACCUGCCUUCGAGUGGGGGAUAACGUCCCGAAAGGGACGCUAAUACCGCAUGACAUCCUGUCCUUGGAUGGACGGAGAUCAAAGCUGGGGAUCGCAAGACCUGGCGCUUGAAGAGGGGCCCGCGCCUGAUUAGCUAGUUGGUGGGGUAAUGGCCUACCAAGGCUACGAUCAGUAUCCGGCCUGAGAGGGCGGACGGACACACUGGGACUGAGACACGGCCCAGACUCCUACGGGAGGCAGCAGUGGGGAAUUGUUCGCAAUGGGCGCAAGCCUGACGACGCAACGCCGCGUGGAGGACGAAGAUCUUCGGGUCGUAAACUCCUGUCGAGUGGGAAGAAUGGAUCGGGGAUGAAUAUUCCCCGGUAUUGACGGUACCACUAAAGGAAGCCCCGGCUAACUCCGUGCCAGCAGCCGCGGUAAUACGGGGGGGGCAAGCGUUGUCCGGAUUUAUUGGGCGUAAAGCGCGCGCAGGUGGGACGGUAUGUGCCCGGUGACAUUCUCAGGCUCACCCUGGGAGGGUCCGGGUAGACAGCGGUUCUAGAGGGAUGGAGAGGGACGUGGAAUACCCGGUGGAGCGGUGAAAUGCGUAGAGAUCGGGCGGAACACCAGCGGCGAAGGCGGCAUCCUGGUCCUGUACUGACGCUGAGGCGCGAGAGCGUGGGGAGCGAACUGGAUUAGAUACCCCAGUAGUCC
RNAcentral lists this ribosomal RNA (809 nucleotides) under uncultured Acidobacteriota bacterium. Its description in RNAcentral is "bacterial SSU rRNA". It matches the Rfam family "Bacterial small subunit ribosomal RNA", at positions 8 to 796 of the family's 1533-position model. The record is from RNAcentral. Lineage: Bacteria; Pseudomonadati; Acidobacteriota.